Molecule: ribosomal RNA, 296 nt
Filed under: Candidatus Kaiserbacteria bacterium
Lineage: Bacteria; Candidatus Kaiseribacteriota
Description: partial 16S ribosomal RNA
Rfam family: Bacterial small subunit ribosomal RNA
Source: RNAcentral
UACAAUGGGACCUACAAAGGGACGCAAUACCGCAAGGUGGAGCAAAUCCUGAUAAAAGGUUCCUCAGUUCGGAUUGUGGGCUGCAACUCGCCCACAUGAAGUCGGAAUCGCUAGUAAUCGUGAAUCAGCACGUCACGGUGAAUACGUUCCCGAGCCUUGUACUCACCGCCCGUCAAGUCAGGGGAGUCGGAAGUGCCCGAAGUUCGUCCUUGAGGCGACCUACGGUAAAUUCGAUAACAAGGACUAAGUCGUAACAAGGCACGGCUAGCGGAAGCUGGUCGUGGAUUAAUUCCAAU